This 563-nucleotide long non-coding RNA is filed under the name Panax ginseng (ginseng). Its description in RNAcentral is "long non-coding RNA (PGIN_LNC018850)". The record is from RNAcentral. Lineage: Eukaryota; Viridiplantae; Streptophyta; Magnoliopsida; Apiales; Araliaceae.
UGUGAUGUAUUUUAUAUAGCAACUAAUCCUCUCUGUAGCCUAAAAAGCUUAGAAUUGUCAUAAAUAAUACAACUAUAUAUAUGAUCAAACAGAAAUAAUCAAAAGCUUUAAAGAAAAAAAAAUAAAUCCUUAAUAACAAUAUUAUCUGUAGUUAAUUUCUACAUCUAUCUCUAUAUAUACGUAUUAACUUACGUACCUCUUCUACACAAAAUUGUCUAUAUCUUCCCAUAUAUUAUAUGUAUAUAUAUAUAUAGAUAUGUGUGUGUGUGUGUGUGUUCCAAAUUAAAGCUAUCGCUUGUUGUGUAGUGGAUUGGAUCCGGUUGGAACUCUUCGCUUCUCGGACUCGAAAACUCUGCAAGCAUCCGGACCAAUAUUUACAGCAUGAAAAACUUGUAAUUCCUCUCUGCUAGCUGCUGGGGUUGGAAAGUGCCCCGCCCCAGUCCUGCUCGAAGUACCACUAAGAAAGAGGAGAGAUAAAAUGAAUACGAAGAGAUGGAAGCGAUUCAUUUUUUAAUUAAGAAAAAUGAUCAGAAUUUGUUGUAGGAGGAUAUGAUUGUGCGUGG